Triticum aestivum (bread wheat) is the source of this 1300-nucleotide long non-coding RNA. RefSeq lists it as uncharacterized. The record is from RefSeq and is a predicted model, not a curated record. The transcript is spliced from 3 exons. NCBI's taxonomy places the organism in Eukaryota, Viridiplantae, Streptophyta, Magnoliopsida, Poales, Poaceae.
GUCCCCCGCCCCACCGCCACCCCGCGUCCCCUCUGGCCCGCCGUGUCCCCCGCCGCCCCACGCCGCACUGCCCCUGCCGUGCCCCCUCUUAUUCCCCUUCUCUAGUUCCAGCGCUCCAGCGAAACCAUGGCGUGACGGGCGUGGUGACCAUGGCCACGCCGGCCGGGAUGACGGCGCCGCGCCGUCCAUUGUUGACCUUGUCGCGCCUGCUAGUCGGAAGACUAUCGCAUUUACCCGACGUUGUACCCCCCUCCUACCCAACAGGCUAUAAGGGCUAGAUGAUCAGUCCAGCAAUGCGGUGUCAGGCAUGGUUUGCUACAUAUGCAGAUGAGACAUCUCUGAAAAACUGAGAUCUGAUUUAAAGAGCAGUUUUGCCAAGCAAGUCUCACUGAAGCCAGUUUAACUUUGGAUGUAGUUGCCAUGUUCUGUUAAGAAAGUAAAGCUUCAUUAUGGGUUUAUAACUAUGUAUUCUUUAUCAAUCUUCACUAUGACUUUAUUCUUCACUACGGUUUUAUCCUACUAGUUACCAAUUCAUGAUUUAUCUAUAGUUUCUAUGUUUUAUAGAUAAUCUUUAUGUCUGUCUGGUUAAUAUACAUGAUAAAUUAUUGAUCGGUCAUCCAUCUAGUGACGUAUGUUGAGUGCGAACACUUCAAUUUUGGAUUUUGGUUGUAUUUUCAGAACACAAAGUAAUAUAUAUCUACUAUUCUAGUGAGCUCUUGCCUAAUUGCAUGAUAUAUGAUUAGCUCCUUCAUAAACCCCGCCACACCUAAAAAUAAUUUCUGCCUUCAUCAUAUGCAGGCUCUUACACAAAGAAUAUUCUUGAGGUGAUGCUAUGUAGAGUUCGAGCUUAUCAACAUUCUUGCCAGCCUUUGGAACUAACCAGUUGGUGUAUCUCUAUUCAUUUGCAGACUUUGGCAGCUAAACAAGGAAUGUCUUAUCAACAAAAUUCCACCACCUCCAGUUCGACCAACUGCUUGUUUGAUCGCUCUUGUAGAUUUUGGAAACAAGCACAGAACUGCCAACUUCGUGUGCUCAGCAACAUGUAGAACAUGAAGUCUAUUUGAAGACCAACUUUUUGGGUGAAUGCAUAGAUAACAUAGAUACAUAUUGUUACAAGUUUUUUUGUAGUAGUAGAUACUUGGAUUGACCAACAAAGCUUGUACGUGCUGAUUUAGGUAUUCUGCUAGUUGUAGCAUUUUUUUAAAUUUUGGUUCUAAACUGACCUUGAAUCUGGUUUCAAACUGACCUUGGGUCUGAUGUAUGUGUGUCAUUUGAUCAUAAAUCUGAUGCGUACAUUGAA